RNAcentral lists this small RNA (644 nucleotides) under Pongo abelii (Sumatran orangutan). Its description in RNAcentral is "processed transcript". The record is from RNAcentral. Lineage: Eukaryota; Metazoa; Chordata; Mammalia; Primates; Hominidae.
UGAGCUGCCGAAGCCGCCGUCCUGCUCUCCCGCGUGGGCUUCUCUAAUUCCAUUUUUUUUUUAGAUUCGCUCGGGCCUAGCCGUCCUUGGAGCCCGAUAUUCGGGCUGGGCGGUUCCGCGGCCUGGGCCUUAGGGGCUUAACAGUAGCAACAGAAGCAGCGGCGGCGGCGGCGGCAGCAGCAGCAGCAGAAACCUCUUCCCGAACACGAGCACCACAGGCGCCCGAAGGCCGGAACAGGCGUUUAGAGAAAAUGGCAGACGAUAUUGAUAUUGAAGCAAUGCUUGAGGCUCCUUACAAGAAGGAUGAGAACAAGUUGAGCAGUGCCAACGGCCAUGAAGAACGUAGCAAAAAACAAACUUUCUGCCUCCUUGGAAAGCUCUACAUCUCCUUGUGAUUGGAGUGUGGGUUUCAAGAUUCCAGAAGGAGGAAAAAAAGCAAGAGCAGAAGUCGUAGUCAUGAACGAAAGAGAAGCAAAAGUAAGGAACGGAAACGAAGUAGAGAUAGAGAAAGGAAAAAGAGCAAAAGCCGUGAAAGAAAACGAAGUAGAAGCAAAGAGAGGCGACGGAGCCGCUCAAGAAGUCGAGAUCGAAGAUUUAGAGGCCGCUACAGAAGUCCUUAGUAUGUAACCAUAGUUAUGAUUUUG